This 440-nucleotide ribosomal RNA is filed under the name uncultured bacterium. RNAcentral describes it as "partial 16S ribosomal RNA". It matches the Rfam family "Bacterial small subunit ribosomal RNA", at positions 338 to 795 of the family's 1533-position model. The record is from RNAcentral.
CCUACGGGAGGCUGCAGUGGGGAAUAUUGCUCAAUGGGGGGAACCCUGAUGCAGCAACGCCGCGUGGAUGAUGAAGUACUCCGGUAUGUAAAGCCCUGUCAGCAGGGAAGAAAAUGACGGUAUCUGACCAAGAAGCCCCGGCUAACUACGUGCCAGCAGCCGCGGUAAUACGUAGGGGGCAAGCGUUAUCCGGAUUUACUGGGGGUAAAGGGAGCGUAGACGGGAAGGCAAGUCUGGAGUGAAAGCCCGUGGCCCAACCACGGGACUGCUUUUGAAACUGUGUUGCUGGAGUGCAGGAGGGGUAAGCGGAAUUCCUGGUGUAGCGGUGAAAUGCGUAGAUAUUAAGAGGAACACCGAUGGCGAAGGCGGCUUGCUGGACUGUAACUGACGUUGAGGCUCGAAGGCGUGGGGAGCAAACAGGAUUAGAUACCCUUGUAGUC